This 244-nucleotide unclassified non-coding RNA is filed under the name plant metagenome. RNAcentral describes it as "partial contains small subunit ribosomal RNA, internal transcribed spacer 1, and 5.8S ribosomal RNA". The record is from RNAcentral.
UAUCCGUUGGUGAACCAGCGGAGGGAUCAUUACCAGAGUUUUACAACUCCCAACCCUUCUGUGAACCUACCAAUUGUUGCUUCGGCGGACUCGCCCGAUCGUCCGGACGGCCCCGCGCGGGCCCGCGACCUGGAACCAGGCGGCCGCCGGAGACCACACAUUCCUGCAUCCAUCAGUCUCUAUGAAUCGGCCGCAAGGCAAAACAAACGAAUCAAAACUUUCAGCAAUGGAUCUCUUGGUUCUG